RNAcentral lists this long non-coding RNA (783 nucleotides) under Numida meleagris (helmeted guineafowl). RNAcentral's name for it is "lncRNA (ENSNMEG00000012218.1)". The record is from RNAcentral. Lineage: Eukaryota; Metazoa; Chordata; Aves; Galliformes; Numididae.
GUGAAUGUUGAUGACUGAGAGAGAAGGGAUAAACCAGAGUGUUUUACAGCAACCCAGCAGAACCAAAGGAUCUGCCAAUACUGGCGAAGUCCUUUCUCUGAACCAGACAACAGAAGCUGCUGUCCCAGUUCGUGGUUGCUCCUUCCCACUGGCAAACAGCUGGGGGGGAUCUGCUCUCAGGAGGAGGGAUAUUUUGGAAACUGGAAAACUGCCGCUUGCACCAGAAUGGCAUGCCACUAAUUUCUGCAGCUUUUUUGAAGGGAGCAUUGCCACCCGGCGAGCUCUGUCAGCCUCCUCUAGGAUUCCCCAUAGAAAUCCCCACCCUCCUACAAGAGGAGCCGUGCCCCAGGUACGCCACAUUACCCACAGCCAGCCUUGCCACUCCCAGAGAAAGUUUGUGUUGUGCCUGCUGCAGGUUGGACGUGAAGAAGUGCACAUCCCUCUUUUUUUGCCUUCUUGCUGCAGACUCAUUCAACAAGGCCAUUCAGGACUGAAUUCAUUUCCAGGACUGCAUUUGGGGAAGUCAAGACCUGAGCAGAUCCUUUUUUAUUUCUAUUCAUUCUCAGGAAAGCGCUCCUCGACGAGUUGGGCCUAGCAAUAUGGCAGCGCACGUUCGAUAAGAAAUCCCGUCCAGUGCUGCUACGAGGACCAUGUGCUCCCUGACCCAUUGCCUCGACUGCACACGCUGCAGGGCGAGGGCUUUUGGAAAGCUGAGGGCUCUCGAGUUGCACGUGGGCUCCUACCUAAAAGCUUUCCUGGUUUUGCAAAGAUGCUGAACCCUUG